RNAcentral lists this ribosomal RNA (424 nucleotides) under uncultured bacterium. Its description in RNAcentral is "bacterial SSU rRNA". It matches the Rfam family "Bacterial small subunit ribosomal RNA", at positions 355 to 793 of the family's 1533-position model. The record is from RNAcentral.
CAAGGAGUUUUCCGCAAUGGGCGAAAGCCUGACGGAGCAACGCCGCGUGUGGGAUGACGCCCCUCGGGGUGUAAACCACUUUUCUUGGGGACGAAGCAGUGACGGUACCCGAGGAAGAAGGCCCGGCUAACUACGUGCCAGCAGCCGCGGUAAUACGUAGGGGCCGAGCGUUGUCCGGAGUUACUGGGCGUAAAGCGCGCGCAGGCGGCUCGUCAAGCCUGACGUGAAAGCCCCCGGCGUCAACCGGGAGGGUCGUCGGGGACUGGCGGGCUUGAGGUCGGCAGGGGUUGGUGGAAUUCCCGGUGUAGUGGUGAAAUGCGUAGAGAUCGGGAGGAACACCCGUGGCGAAGGCGGCCAACUGGGCCGGACCUGACGCUGAGGCGCGAAGGCGUGGGGGAGCGAACGGGAUUAGAUACCCUAGUAG